This 191-nucleotide unclassified non-coding RNA is filed under the name uncultured fungus. RNAcentral describes it as "sequence contains ITS1, 5.8S rRNA gene". Lineage: Eukaryota; Fungi. The record is from RNAcentral.
UUAACUAUUAUAUAGUACUCAGACAGUAUAGACAAACAGAGUUUAGAUCCUCUGGCAAGCGCUCGCCGGCCGGAGCCAGCAGCCCGAAGGCAGGCCUGCCAAAGCAACAAAGUGUAAUAAACACGGGUGGGAGGUUGGACCCAGAGGGCCCUCACUCGGUAAUGAUCCUUCCGCAGGUUCACCUACGGAAA